CGUGCCAAUGAUGAGAAACCCUUGCAUAGAAAAGUAGGAGAUGGCCGAGCGCGGUGGCUCACGCCUGUAAUCCCAGCACUUUGGCCGGGGCGGGUGGACCAUGAGGUCAGGAGUUCGAGAUCAGCCUGGCCAACAUGGUGAAACCCCGUCUCUACUAAAAAUACAAAAAUUAGCCGGGCGUGGUGGUGCGUGCCUGUAGUCCCAGCUACUCAGGAGGCUGAGGCCGGAGAAUCUCUUGGACCCAAGAGGUAGAGGUUGCAGUGAGCGGAGAUCGUGCCACUGCACUCCAGCCUGGGUGACAGAGACUCUGUAUCAAAGAAAAAAAAAAAAAAAAGCAGGAGAUACUGGCUGUAGAUAAGAAGGCAGACAUCUCAUUGCUUGCAGAGUGAAAGAAGAAAGAACUGGUGAUGUUGUUACUGGACUACUUUCGCACUAGUGUCAAGAAGGUGAGAAAUCUCUCGAAUCUAGGAUAAGAGAAAAAAUAAAGAAGGUGAGAAAUCUUUCUCAUGGUCGUUACUAUUUCUCUCUGCAGUAAGUUGUAAAAUCAUUUGUUAUUAAACAGGGAAGUUGUGGCCGGGCGCAGUGGCUCAUGCCUGUAAUCCCAGCACUUUGGGAGGCCAAGGCGGGCGGAUCACGAGAUCAGGAAAUCAAGACCAUCCUGGCCAACAUGGUGAAACCUCGUCUGUACUAAAAAAAUACAAAAAUUAGCUGAGCGUGGUGGCGCGUGCCUGUAAUCCCAGCUACUCGGGAGGCUGAGGCAGGAGAAUAGCUUGAACCAGGGAGUUGGAGGUUGCAGUGAGCCGAGAUGGUGCCACUGAACGCUAGCCUGGGAACAGAGCAAGACUCUGUCUCAAAAAAAAAAAAAAAAAAAAAAAAAAAAGAGGGAAGUUGAGAUGGUGUGAAUUCAAAAUCCUGCAGAAAUCAUGAAAAGAUCUUUGCCCACUGGAAAUUUCCUGAAGUGUCGAAGGCCCCUUUAGAGUAGGUGAUCUCAAAUUUUUUAGCGCUUCCCAUAUCACCGCGUGGCGGCAGAAUUAUGUAGGCAGGAGAGACAGAUGGUUAGCGUUUUCCAGGGCAGGUAUUAUGAUAGGACAGAGAGUAGGG
RNAcentral lists this long non-coding RNA (1101 nucleotides) under Homo sapiens (human). RNAcentral describes it as "HSALNT0396016". The record is from RNAcentral. Lineage: Eukaryota; Metazoa; Chordata; Mammalia; Primates; Hominidae.